Molecule: long non-coding RNA, 199 nt
Filed under: Elaeis guineensis (African oil palm)
Lineage: Eukaryota; Viridiplantae; Streptophyta; Magnoliopsida; Arecales; Arecaceae
Description: long non-coding RNA (EGUI_LNC079067)
Source: RNAcentral
CACUUUUUCUCAUAGGAUCUUCCAGAUUUCAUCAAAUCUAGGGCAGAAUAAUUUUAAAAAUUUAUUCUAUAUAUUUUAGAUCUAAUUCUCUAGAUCUAAUUUUAUUAUCUAAUAUUUAAAAUUUAAAAUUAAAUUUAAAUCUAUGAUGAAAAAAAGUACCUCAAGGGUAAUCUGAUUACCCUGUAGAUGAUCUCUGCAU